UGAACACUAUCAAGGCUGCUCUGUGGGCCCAGCACUCCAGCAAAUGAAUAGAAACAUAAUGUUCCUGCCAAGCUGAUUUAUCUAUCAUUUAACCAGAGUGAGCGAGAGAAGAAACAAACAGUGGGAGAAGAUGUCUCACGCACACUGAAGUUAGACCACUGCAAAACUGAGCCAGACGGCUUUGUUGUGCAGCUUUCUGAUGCCUCCAGGGGACAGCUGCUUAUCGGAGGGAGACUAUUAUGGGGUUGGGGCUGGAGAUGUUCCAUGCAGCAUCCUGCAAGGGGAAGCAGUUACUUUAUGAGAGCGAUGCUUCAACCAGCUAACUGGAUAGCCCUCCCUUUUGCAGCUGGUGUGGGUGAAGAUGUGGAAGCUUGAUUCUCCUUGGAAGCUCUGAUCACCCCAGCCCAGAACCACUAGUCCCCACUUAGUCUUGGAGAGGAGGCAAGGAUGUGUGUCCUCUGCGUGUAGCCUUACGGUCUGCAAAUGCUUAUGAAAACCUAUGAAAGAGAGACUAUUCAUUUUAGUUCCAUUUUAGAGAAAAAAAAAAAAAACCUGAAGCUUAGAACAUUUAAGAAAUUUUCCCUAAAUCCAUCUAGCUAGCAAGAAGUGGGGACAAAAUGAGAGUCCACUUGGCUCUCAGAUCCAGCCUCAAGUACCUUUGAGAGCCACAGGGGUUGCACAACAUGGACUUCCUCUGCUAGAGUGGGAAGACAGUCUUUUUUACAUGAAGAGAUUAGGAUAGGCUGGGCGCAGUGGCUCACACCUGUAAUCUCAACACUUUGAGAGACAGAUCACUUGAGGUCAGGAGUUCAAGACCAGCCUGCCAACAUGGUGAAACCUCAUCUCUACUAAAAAUACAAAAAUAGCC
Molecule: long non-coding RNA, 868 nt
Filed under: Homo sapiens (human)
Lineage: Eukaryota; Metazoa; Chordata; Mammalia; Primates; Hominidae
Description: long independently transcribed non-coding RNA 2630 (LINC02630)
Source: RNAcentral